UUUGGGUGUCUGGUGGCGAGGGAGAACAUCAAGGCAGAGUACGAUUGGUAGCGUCUGGCCAAGCUGUUUCUUUUGCCUUUUUGGCAGGGUGUAUUUCUUUGGGUUCAAGGCUUGUAAUCACACAGGAAAGAGGGAAACUCUGGAGAAUGAUUGUUCUAAGAGCACCUCGAUGGUGCACAUCAAGGUUGAUAAGGGGCAUCGAUGGUAGAGAUUUUGGAGGGCAAGAAAGUCUCAUCUUGGAACAAAAUACACCUGUUGUAUGACUUCUUUGUCAGGAAGACUGCUGCUUAUAAAAUGACUUUCAUCUACUGCUGCUCAUAUUCAGAUCUCUCUGGGGUGUGUUCUAUGUUCCAAGUGUAAUCAACCGCUGAAAGGCUCUUGGAUGAUAAAGGUAACAAGGAUUUAAAGGUUGAAGUUUUAGAACGACAGUAGUACUAUUAUCUUCAGUUAACACUAGAAAGUCAUUUUUUCAAUUCAUUUCAUCUGGUGAUCCUCUGGGUCCUCUUUGAGAAUGUAAUAUCAUCUGGGUUCCUUUCAAAAUAUCUCCUUUCCUUUUUCUUCACAUUCUUGUAUUGAAACACCCCAAUCUUUGAC
Long non-coding RNA from Lolium rigidum, 594 nucleotides. RefSeq lists it as uncharacterized. The record is from RefSeq and is a predicted model, not a curated record. The transcript has 3 exons. Lineage: Eukaryota; Viridiplantae; Streptophyta; Magnoliopsida; Poales; Poaceae.